RNAcentral lists this ribosomal RNA (465 nucleotides) under uncultured bacterium. RNAcentral describes it as "bacterial SSU rRNA". It matches the Rfam family "Bacterial small subunit ribosomal RNA", at positions 338 to 795 of the family's 1533-position model. The record is from RNAcentral.
CCUACGGGACGCAGCAGUGGGGAAUAUUGCACAAUGGGCGCAAGCCUGAUGCAGCCAUGCCGCGUGUGUGAAGAAGGCCUUCGGGUUGUAAAGCACUUUCAGCGAGGAGGAAGGUGGUGAGCUUAAUGCGCUCAUCAAUUGACGUUACUCGCAGAAGAAGCACCGGCUAACUCCGUGCCAGCAGCCGCGGUAAUACGGAGGGUGCAAGCGUUAAUCGGAAUUACUGGGCGUAAAGCGCACGCAGGCGGUUUGUUAAGUCAGAUGUGAAAUCCCCGGGCUCAACCUGGGAACUGCAUUCGAAACUGGCAAGCUAGAGUCUCGUAGAGGGGGGUAGAAUUCCAGGUGUAGCGGUGAAAUGCGUAGAGAUCUGGAGGAAUACCGGUGGCGAAGGCGGCCCCCUGGACGAAGACUGACGCUCAGGUGCGAAAGCGUGGGGAGCAAACAGGAUUAGAUACCCGGGUAGUC